Molecule: long non-coding RNA, 331 nt
Filed under: Prunus persica (peach)
Lineage: Eukaryota; Viridiplantae; Streptophyta; Magnoliopsida; Rosales; Rosaceae
Description: long non-coding RNA (PPER_LNC003158)
Source: RNAcentral
GGAAAGGUAAAGGAGAAGGAUUGGAGUUUUUUGGGACAAAAUGGCAGUCGGUGGUGGCAAGUCAUAGUCGGCGUAGCCGCUUCAAUUUCCAGCAACACGGCUACUUUGGGUCGGGUUUUUGGAUCCAAAAUUCUAGCUAUCUACUCGGUUUCAAGGGUGGAUCUUGGAUGCGUUUUGUAGAGAGGAAAAGGGGAACAAGUUUCGUGAAGGUUGUCCUGCCAAUCGUGGUUGGACGAUGACGAAAAAAUGACUGGAAGUGGUGUUGCUACUGUUCACGCCAAAGAGAGGGGUCUGUCGCGAGAGAGAAGAGGGAGAAAAGUGCUGAAAUCUG